GACGAACGCUGGCGGCGUGCUUAACACAUGCAAGUCGAACGGAAAGGCCCUGCUUUUGUGGGGUGCUCGAGUGGCGAACGGGUGAGCAACACGUGAGUAACCUGCCCUUGACUUUGGGAUAACUUCAGGAAACUGGGGCUAAUACCGGAUAGGAGCUCCUGCUGCAUGGUGGGGGUUGGAAAGUUUCGGCGGUUGGGGAUGGACUCGCGGCUUAUCAGCUUGUUGGUGGGGUAGUGGCUUACCAAGGCUUUGACGGGUAGCCGGCCUGAGAGGGUGACCGGCCACAUUGGGACUGAGAUACGGCCCAGACUCCUACGGGAGGCAGCAGUGGGGAAUAUUGCACAAUGGGCGGAAGCCUGAUGCAGCAACGCCGCGUGCGGGAUGACGGCCUUCGGGUUGUAAACCGCUUUCGCCUGUGACGAAGCGUGAGUGACGGUAAUGGGUAAAGAAGCACCGGCUAACUACGUGCCAGCAGCCGCGGUGAUACGUAGGGUGCGAGCGUUGUCCGGAUUUAUUGGGCGUAAAGGGCUCGUAGGUGGUUGAUCGCGUCGGAAGUGUAAUCUUGGGGCUUAACCCUGAGCGUGCUUUCGAUACGGGUUGACUUGAGGAAGGUAGGGGAGAAUGGAAUUCCUGGUGGAGCGGUGGAAUGCGCAGAUAUCAGGAGGAACACCAGUGGCGAAGGCGGUUCUCUGGGCCUUUCCUGACGCUGAGGAGCGAAAGCGUGGGGAGCGAACAGGCUUAGAUACCCUGGUAGUCCACGCUGUAAACGGUGGGUACUAGGUGUGGGGUCCAUUCCACGGGUUCCGUGCCGUAGCUAACGCUUUAAGUACCCCGCCUGGGGAGUACGGCCGCAAGGCUAAAACUCAAAGGAAUUGACGGGGCCCCGCACAAGCGGCGGAGCAUGCGGAUUAAUUCGAUGCAACGCGUAGAACCUUACCUGGGUUUGACAUGGAUCGGGAGUGCUCAGAGAUGGGUGUGCCUCUUUUGGGGUCGGUUCACAGGUGGUGCAUGGCUGUCGUCAGCUCGUGUCGUGAGAUGUUGGGUUAAGUCCCGCAACGAGCGCAACCCUUGUUCACUGUUGCCAGCACGUUAUGGUGGGGACUCAGUGGAGACCGCCGGGGUCAACUCGGAGGAAGGUGGGGAUGACGUCAAGUCAUCAUGCCCCUUAUGUCCAGGGCUUCACGCAUGCUACAAUGGCUGGUACAGAGAGUGGCGAGCCUGUGAGGGUGAGCGAAUCUCGGAAAGCCGGUCUCAGUUCGGAUUGGGGUCUGCAACUCGACCUCAUGAAGUCGGAGUCGCUAGUAAUCGCAGAUCAGCAACGCUGCGGUGAAUACGUUCCCGGGGCU
RNAcentral lists this ribosomal RNA (1346 nucleotides) under uncultured bacterium. RNAcentral describes it as "partial 16S ribosomal RNA". It matches the Rfam family "Bacterial small subunit ribosomal RNA", at positions 28 to 1381 of the family's 1533-position model. The record is from RNAcentral.